Molecule: unclassified non-coding RNA, 412 nt
Filed under: uncultured Atheliaceae
Lineage: Eukaryota; Fungi; Basidiomycota; Agaricomycetes; Atheliales; Atheliaceae
Description: sequence contains ITS2
Rfam family: 5.8S ribosomal RNA (bases 1-155)
Source: RNAcentral
AACUUUUGGCAAUGGAUCACUUGGCUCUCGCAUCGAUGAAGAACGCAGCGAAAUGCGAUAAGUAAUGUGAAUUGCAGAUUUUCAAUAAAUCAUCGAAUCUUUGAACGCACCUUUCGCUCCUUGUUAUUCCGAGGAGCAUGCCUGUUUGAGUGUCAUUAAAUCAUCAACCCCACAGAUUUGUUUCGGCUUGGGGCUUGGACUUGGAGCGUGCUGGCGAAGGUCGGCUCAUCUUUAAAUGCAUCAGCGGAAGAACGCAUCUUUUUUCCCUUCAGCGUGAUAAUCCUGUUGCGCUGUGUGUGGGUCAAAGGUGUUCCGCUUAUAAUCGUCCUUCGGACAAACGAACCCAUCUAUUUUUGACCUCAAAUCAGGUAGGACUACCCGCUGAACUUAAGCAUAUCAAUAAGCGGAGGCU